This 496-nucleotide ribosomal RNA is filed under the name uncultured bacterium. RNAcentral's name for it is "partial 16S ribosomal RNA". It matches the Rfam family "Bacterial small subunit ribosomal RNA", at positions 29 to 507 of the family's 1533-position model. The record is from RNAcentral.
AUGAACGCUGGCGGCGUGCCUAAUACAUGCCAGUCGCGCGAACAGACGAGGAGCUUGCUGCUCUGACGUUAGCGGCGGACGGGUGAGUAACACGUGGAUAACCUACCUAUAAGACUGGGAUAACUUAGGGAAACCGGCGCUAAUACCGGAUAAUAUAUUGCACCGCAUGGUUCCAUAGUGAAAGACGGUUUUGCUGUCACUUAUAGAUGGAUCUGCGCCGCAUUAGCUAGUUGGUAAGGUAACGGCUUACCAAGGCGACGAUGCGUAGCCGAUCUGAGAGGGUGAUCGGCCACACUGGAACUGAGACACGGUCCAGACUCCUACGGGAGGCAGCAGUAGGGAAUCUUCCGCAAUGGGCGAAAGCCUGACGGAGCAACGCCGCGUGAGUGAUGAAGGUCUUCGGAUCGUAAAACUCUGUUAUUAGGGAAGAACAAAUGUGUAAGUAACUAUGCACGUCUUGACGGUACCUAAUCAGAAAGCCACGGCUAACUACGUG